RNAcentral lists this ribosomal RNA (340 nucleotides) under Mycoplasma sp. RNAcentral describes it as "bacterial SSU rRNA". It matches the Rfam family "Bacterial small subunit ribosomal RNA", at positions 148 to 475 of the family's 1533-position model. Lineage: Bacteria; Bacillati; Mycoplasmatota; Mollicutes; Mycoplasmatales; Mycoplasmataceae. The record is from RNAcentral.
GAACGGAAACGUUCGAUAAUAUCAAAUACUUAUUAGUGUCGCAUGACUUURAUAUAAAAGGAGCGUUUGCUUCGCUAAGAGAUCGGGGUGCGCAACAUUAGCUAGUUGGUGAGGUAACGGCCCACCAAGGCGAUGAUGUUUAGCGGGGUUGAGAGACUGAACCGCCACACUGGGACUGAGAUACGGCCCAGACUCCUACGGGAGGCAGCAGUAGGGAAUAUUCCACAAUGAGCGAAAGCUUGAUGGAGCGACACAGCGUGCAGGAUGAAGGUCCUAUGGAUUGUAAACUGCUGUGGUAAGGGAAGAAAAAGUAGUGUAGGAAAUGACAUUACCUUGACGG